This 497-nucleotide ribosomal RNA is filed under the name uncultured bacterium. RNAcentral's name for it is "partial 16S ribosomal RNA". It matches the Rfam family "Bacterial small subunit ribosomal RNA", at positions 28 to 507 of the family's 1533-position model. The record is from RNAcentral.
GAUGAACGCUGGCGGCGUGCCUAAUACAUGCAAGUCGAGCGAACGGACGAGAAGCUUGCUUUUCUGAUGUUAGCGGCGGACGGGUGAGUAACACGUGGAUAAUCUACCUAUAAGACUGGGAUAACUUCGGGGAACCGGAGCUAAUACCGGAUAAUAUUUUGAACCGCAUGGUUCAAAAGUGAAAGACGGUCUUGCUGUCACUUAUAGAUGGAUCCGCGCUGCAUUAGCUAGUUGGUAAGGUAACGGCUUACCAAGGCAACGAUGCAUAGCCGACCUGAGAGGGUGAUCGGCCACACUGGAACUGAGACACGGUCCAGACUCCUACGGGAGGCAGCAGUAGGGAAUCUUCCGCAAUGGGCGAAAGCCUGACGGAGCAACGCCGCGUGAGUGAUGAAGGUCUUCGGAUCGUAAAACUCUGUUAUUAGGGAAGAACAUAUGUGUAAGUAACUGUGCACAUCUUGACGGUACCUAAUCAGAAAGCCACGGCUAACUACGUG